UGGAAUGGUGUGAGUAGUGUG
This 21-nucleotide microRNA is filed under the name Brugia malayi. RNAcentral's name for it is "bma-miR-5883". The record is from miRBase by way of RNAcentral. RNAcentral also lists the same sequence under 1 other name. Lineage: Eukaryota; Metazoa; Nematoda; Chromadorea; Rhabditida; Onchocercidae.